This 253-nucleotide ribosomal RNA is filed under the name uncultured bacterium. RNAcentral describes it as "partial 16S ribosomal RNA". It matches the Rfam family "Bacterial small subunit ribosomal RNA", at positions 524 to 776 of the family's 1533-position model. The record is from RNAcentral.
UACGGGGGGGGCAAGCGUUGUUCGGAAUUACUGGGCGUAAAGGGCUUGUAGGUGGCCAACUAAGUCAGACGUGAAAUCCCUCAGCUUAACUGGGGAACUGCGUCUGAUACUGGAUGGCUUGAGUUUGGGAGAGGGAUGCGGAAUUCCAGGUGUAGCGGUGAAAUGCGUAGAUAUUGGGAGGAACACCGGUGGCGAAGGCGGCCCCCUGGACCGGAACUGACGCUGAGGCGCGAAAGCGUGGGUAGCAAACGGG